AGAGUUUGAUCCUGGCUCAGGAUGAACGCUAGCGGCAGGCUUAAUACAUGCAAGUCGUGGGGCAGCGCAGGUAGCAAUACUGGGCGGCGACCGGCAAACGGGUGCGGAACACGUACACAACCUUCCUUCAAGUGGGGAAUAGCCCAGAGAAAUUUGGAUUAAUACCCCGUAACAUAACGAUGUGGCAUCACAUUGUUAUUAUAGCUUCGGCGCUUGUUGAUGGGUGUGCGGCUGAUUAGAUAGUUGGCGGGGUAACGGCCCACCAAGUCUACGAUCAGUAGCUGAUGUGAGAGCAUGAUCAGCCACACGGGCACUGAGACACGGGCCCGACUCCUACGGGAGGCAGCAGUAAGGAAUAUUGGUCAAUGGACGAAAGUCUGAACCAGCCAUGCCGCGUGAAGGAUUAAGGUCCUCUGGAUUGUAAACUUCUUUUAUCUGGGACGAAAAAAAGGCGAUUCUUCGUCACUUGACGGUACCAGAUGAAUAAAGCACCGGCUAACUCCGUGCCAGCAGCCGCGGUAAUAC
RNAcentral lists this ribosomal RNA (525 nucleotides) under uncultured freshwater bacterium. RNAcentral describes it as "bacterial SSU rRNA". It matches the Rfam family "Bacterial small subunit ribosomal RNA", at positions 8 to 526 of the family's 1533-position model. The record is from RNAcentral.